Molecule: ribosomal RNA, 253 nt
Filed under: uncultured bacterium
Lineage: Bacteria
Description: partial 16S ribosomal RNA
Rfam family: Bacterial small subunit ribosomal RNA
Source: RNAcentral
UACAGAGGUCUCAAGCGUUGUUCGGAUUCAUUGGGCGUAAAGGGUGCGUAGGCGGCGCGGUAAGUCGGGUGUGAAAUCUCCAAGCUUAACUUGGAAACUGCCGUUGAUACUAUAAAUCUUGAAUGUUGUGGAGGUGAGCGGAAUAUGUCAUGUAGCGGUGAAAUGCUUAGAUAUGACAUAGAACACCAAUUGCGAAGGCAGCUCACUACACAAAGAUUGACACUGAGGCACGAAAGCGUGGGGAUCAAACAGG